UACGUAGGGGGCGAGCGUUGUCCGGAUUUACUGGGCGUAAAGCGCGCGCAGGCGGCCUGAUCAGUCUGGGGUGAAAUCUCACGGCUCAACUGCGAGCGGUCCCUGGAUACUGUCAGUCUUGAGAUGUCUAGAGGAGAGCGGAAUUCCCGGUGUAGUGGUGGAAUGCGUAGAUAUCGGGAAGAACACCAGUGGCGAAAGCGGCUCUCUGGGGACCAUCUGACGCUGAGGCGCGAAAGCGUGGGGAGCGAACCGG
This 253-nucleotide ribosomal RNA is filed under the name uncultured bacterium. Its description in RNAcentral is "partial 16S ribosomal RNA". It matches the Rfam family "Bacterial small subunit ribosomal RNA", at positions 524 to 776 of the family's 1533-position model. The record is from RNAcentral.